Long non-coding RNA from Melospiza melodia melodia, 293 nucleotides. RefSeq lists it as uncharacterized. The transcript is spliced from 3 exons. NCBI's taxonomy places the organism in Eukaryota, Metazoa, Chordata, Aves, Passeriformes, Passerellidae. The record is from RefSeq and is a predicted model, not a curated record.
AGCAAACACACGCUCCUGUGUGCACACACUCUCUCGCUGUAAGGCGACACACUCCCCAGAACAGAUGGCUCCAGCCCGGCCUGAGCACAUGCACUCAGGGAAAAUGACUUUUUUUCAGCAGAGUAGUGUUCAAUGACUGCCAGUGAAGGAACUACUGCUGGUGAAAAGUUCCCACAUUUCCACAGAGCUGCUGCCUGGAAAGCCUGGGCAAUGUGGUCACCAGCACCUGCUGGCGUGUGCAAGCUGGGAGUGCCAGGCCUUCUGCUAAAGAGCCUCAAGGAAGCAUCCUGAUG